Molecule: ribosomal RNA, 417 nt
Filed under: uncultured eukaryote
Lineage: Eukaryota
Description: bacterial SSU rRNA
Rfam family: Eukaryotic small subunit ribosomal RNA
Source: RNAcentral
CAAUAGCGUAUAUUAAAGUUGUUGCGGUUAAAAAGCUCGUAGUUGGAUUUCUGCCUGAGGCAGCCGGUCCGCACUUAGUGCGUGUAUCUGGUUUGGUUUGGGCAUCCUCUUGGGGAUCGUUGCUGUGCUUAGUUGCAUGGUGCGGAAUUCAAGACGUUUACUUUGAGGAAAUUAGAGUGUUCACGGCAGGCAAGCGCCUUGAAUACAUUAGCAUGGAAUAAUAAUAUAGGAUCUAGGUUCUAUUUUGUUGGUUUCUAGAACUUGGAUAAUGAUUAAUAGGGAUAAUUGGGGCGAUUUGUAUUAACUCGUCAGAGGUGGAAUUCUUGGAUUGAGUUACGACAAACUACUGCGAAAGCAUUUGCCAAGGAUGUUUUCAUUGAUCAAGAACGAAAGUAUGGGGAUCGAAGACGAUCAGAU